Molecule: ribosomal RNA, 341 nt
Filed under: uncultured bacterium
Lineage: Bacteria
Description: bacterial SSU rRNA
Rfam family: Bacterial small subunit ribosomal RNA
Source: RNAcentral
UAGCUGCAUUAUUUGACGUUAGCGACAGAAGAAGCACCGGCUAACUCCGUGCCAGCAGCCGCGGUAAUACGGAGGGUGCGAGCGUUAAUCGGAAUUACUGGGCGUAAAGCGCAUGCAGGUGGUUUGUUAAGUCAGAUGUGAAAGCCCGGGGCGUCAACCUCGGAAUAGCAUUUGAAACUGGCAGACUAGAGUACUGUAGAGGGGGGUAGGAAUUUCAGGUGUAGCGGUGAAAUAGCGUAGAGAUCUGAAGGAAUACCGGUGGCGAAGGCGGCCCCCUCGGACAGAUACUGACACUCAGAUGCGAAAGCGUGGGGAGCAAACAGGAUUAGAUACCCUGGUAG